This 69-nucleotide transfer RNA is filed under the name human gut metagenome. It matches the Rfam family "tRNA". Rfam says of the family: Transfer RNA (tRNA) molecules are approximately 80 nucleotides in length. The record is from RNAcentral.
GAAGUAUAGUUCAGUUGGUAGAACGUCGGUCUCCAAAACCGAAGGUCAGAGGUUCGAAUCCUUUUGCUU